UCAAAGGAAUUGACGGGGAGCACCACAACGGGUGGAGCUUGCGGUUUAAUUGGAUUUCCAACGCCGGAAAUCUUACCGGGACCGACAGCAAUAUGAAGGCCAGGCUGAAGACUUUGCCGGAUUAGCUGAGAGGUGGUGCAUGGCCGUCGUCAGUUCGUACUGUGAAGCAUCCUGUUAAGUCAGGCAACGAGCGAGACCCACGCCCACAGUUGCCAGCGUACUCUCUGGAGUGACGGGUACACUGUGGGGACCGCCGCUGCUAAAGCGGAGGAAGGAAUGGGCAACGGUAGGUCAGUAUGCCCCGAAUAUCCCGGGCUACACGCGAGCUACAAUGGUUGGUACAAUGGGUAUCUACCCCGAAAGGGGACGGGAAUCUCCUAAAACCAAUCUUAGUUCGGAUUGAGGGCUGCAACUCGCCCUCAUGGAGCUGGAAUCCGUAGUAAUCGCGUUUCAACAGAACGCGGUGAAUACGUCCCUGCUCCUU
Molecule: ribosomal RNA, 484 nt
Filed under: uncultured Methanosaeta sp.
Lineage: Archaea; Methanobacteriati; Methanobacteriota; Methanomicrobia; Methanotrichales; Methanotrichaceae
Description: bacterial SSU rRNA
Rfam family: Archaeal small subunit ribosomal RNA
Source: RNAcentral